UCUUGAUAGUGACUCUCACAUGGUCCCCCACCCUUUCUUUGCCGGAGAGGUUUCGGGUGUGCUCACAGGGAGGGGUGCCUGAGGACGGAGAUGCACUCAGGUGGCCCUGACAUCAGCGUGGGCUUUGUUGGGUCAUCAGCAUGACCUUCCCUCCGCCCGGCACACGGGGCAGGGCGCCCACGCUGUGCUCCGCGGCUCUCUGAUGGGCACGGAGAGAUUAAUGCCAAAGGCUCAGGCUAGCGUCCUGACCCCAGGAACGUGCCGUCUCCGAGAAGAACAGCGACCUUUAUGAAAUCAUGUUAAGACUGCAACCUGCGUGGUGAGAAGACUGUAUCUGAGUUUUGUUUCAGCACCACCGAACCAGAGACGAGCCUGGUGCCUGGUACCACGGCUGACACAUCCAUGCCAGUUCCAGGAGAUGGAAGUCUGAGAGGAAGACGUUGGCAAGAUGCUGCUUUACGAUGUUGAUUUUUUAAAACUGUUCCAAACAUGAUUUUUGCAGUGCUGGUAACUGCCUUUUGUCGUUUACGCUUUUUGUUGAUUGUUUUUAACUUUAUAUUUGUGGCUUAAGAGAAAGUAGUAAGAAGGGCAUAAUUUCAUUAAUUGAAAUAAGAGACCAGCAGUGGGUGAUCAGAGAAAUCAGAUCCUGAGCCGCUGGAGAGAGGAGACCUCCGUCCCUGCAGCUAUUCCUUCUCCAGAGAACGAGCGUCUCAGCCAGUCUCUACCUUGAAACUGUCUCCUUCCCCAUUGCUGCUACUCAACCUGCAACUGUCUUUGCCGACGGACUCUUUGAGUACAUCCACCCCCAAAUUCGCUGCAAACCCGCCUCCCCCUGCUUAGUCAACCUGAGAUCAUCAUCACUAGGUGAUCUGUCAGCCCGGUGGCAUUUUAUCCUGAAUCAAAGAGCGUUUUCUAACGCACGCUCCCACUCUGGUACGUAGCAACAGGGAAAGACAAGUUUUAAAACAGAUGGAAAAAUCUGAGCUCUUCCUACUUUCCAUAGUGAAACUUUUGUCUGUCCAUGCAGUUACUAAAGAUUAGACGUGGUAUAUAUAGCAGUGAAGAGCCAGAAAGAGUCAUUUUUUUCCCCAGUUUUUUUUUCUUAUGAUAAAAUAAAAGACAUGUAAAAUCUGCUA
Microcebus murinus (gray mouse lemur) is the source of this 1136-nucleotide non-coding RNA. Lineage: Eukaryota; Metazoa; Chordata; Mammalia; Primates; Cheirogaleidae. The record is from RefSeq and is a predicted model, not a curated record.